RNAcentral lists this long non-coding RNA (1053 nucleotides) under Malus domestica (apple). Its description in RNAcentral is "long non-coding RNA (MDOM_LNC009339)". The record is from RNAcentral. Lineage: Eukaryota; Viridiplantae; Streptophyta; Magnoliopsida; Rosales; Rosaceae.
UCCCUGUGUGUCAACCUCUGUGCUUCGUGGCAAGGUAGACUAGCAAAACAUGCCCAACCUUUACUCACAUUCGAGAAAACACUCCCAAUAAGAUUGCUUGCUCCAAAAUCGAAGAGGCACCGUCCUUCGAAUCUCGAGAGCCAGACUCCCAACAUGACUACUUUCUUAAAAAUCGAAGAGAGGGUAAAGGAACAGUACCAUUGCUGGAUAAUUGGAAAGUCCCUGUGUGUCAACCUCUGUCCUUCGUGGCAAGGUAGACUAGCAAACAUGCCCAACCUUUACUCACACUCGAGAAAACACUCCUAACAAGAUUGCUUGCUCCAAAAUCGAAGAGGCACCGCCCUCCGAAUCUCGAGAGCCAAACUUCCAAUAUGAUUAUUUUCUCAAAAAUCGAAGAGACACUGCUCCCCGAAUCUUCGAGAGCCAGACCCCCAGCAUGAUUGCUUUCUCAAAAAUCGAUGAGGCAUCGUUCUCCGAAUCAAUCGAAGAGGCGCUCGCUUUCUCAAAAGUUGGGCUGCUCAGAGACCACGAGGGCCGAUCUCAGAAAUCGAAGAGGCACCUACUUUUCUAGCCUUGUCAGCACCUGUCACACGCACACUCAGCUUUGCAGAAAUUAUGGGCAUUCUGUCGAAGACUUCUGGUGAAGUAGAAAGCACAUGAAUCUUACUAUUCAAUCACCCACUUCCCACACGCAACAAUAGCUCAUGGGUACCACAGAUAACUUUGCCAAAGUUGAGCACGUGAAGCUUGCAGCUCCCACUACAUCGCUCUGACCAAGAAAGGUAAAAGAAUAGCAAAGAAACAGCACUAACAAAGUUUAGACACAUAAAUUUUGAAGGUAUAGCUACCAUAUUAUUACCCACAAGGGUAAAGGAACAGUACCACUGCUGGAUAAUUGAAAAGUCCCUGUGUGUCAACCUCUGUGCUUCGUGGCAAGGUAGACUAGCAAACAUGCCCAACCUUUACUCACAUUCGAGAAAACACUCCCAACAAGAUUGCUUGCUCCAAAAUCGAAGAGGCACCGUCCUCCGAAUCUCGAGAGCCAGACUCCCA